UACGUAGGGGGCAAGCGUUGUCCGGAUUCAUUGGGCGUAAAGAGCGUGUAGGCGGCCAGGUAGGUCGGUUGUGAAAACUGGAGGCUCAACCUUCAGAGGUCGACCGAAACCAUCUGGCUAGAGUCCGGGAGAGGAGAGUGGAAUUCCUGGUGUAGCGGUGAAAUGCGCAGAUAUCAGGAAGAACACCGGUGGCGAAGGCGGAUCUCUGGGCCAUUACUGACGCUGAGGAGCGAAAGCGUGGGGAGCGAACAGG
Molecule: ribosomal RNA, 253 nt
Filed under: uncultured bacterium
Lineage: Bacteria
Description: partial 16S ribosomal RNA
Rfam family: Bacterial small subunit ribosomal RNA
Source: RNAcentral